UGGACCAAUGAUGAAUGAUCGUGACGGGAAGAGUCCUGAACGAUGAAAACAUGUCUGAAACUCUGAGGUCCAG
This 73-nucleotide small nucleolar RNA is filed under the name Tursiops truncatus (common bottlenose dolphin). Its description in RNAcentral is "Small nucleolar RNA SNORD113/SNORD114 family (ENSTTRG00000022427.1)". It matches the Rfam family "Small nucleolar RNA SNORD113/SNORD114 family". Rfam says of the family: The imprinted human domain at 14q32 contains two clusters of tandemly repeated small nucleolar RNAs named 14q(I) and 14q(II) snoRNAs. Lineage: Eukaryota; Metazoa; Chordata; Mammalia; Artiodactyla; Delphinidae. The record is from Rfam by way of RNAcentral.